This is a non-coding RNA of Plutella xylostella (diamondback moth), 779 nucleotides long. Lineage: Eukaryota; Metazoa; Arthropoda; Insecta; Lepidoptera; Plutellidae. The record is from RefSeq and is a predicted model, not a curated record.
UAGGUACUUAAUCUAAUCAAUCUAAAUAUAUAUAAAUCUAAUAAUGAGAAAAAAAUAAUAAUAUAUAAGUAUUGGUGAUAGGCAAUAAAUAAUAUGCUGUCGUCGUCAAAACGGUGUCCACUCAGCUACUGCAGCGCCUUUGGUUGGUUUAAAGGACACUGCGCUGGUUUUCAGUGGAAGCCUUAUAGUGACGCACUACGCGUAGGUAGUUAAUAAAAAUCAAACGAAAACACGGAGGAAACAAAAACAAAGUGAAGUGCGCGAGCGACGACAUGGCGGAGCGCGUUCGCCCUGAAAUCUACUUUCAGGCAGGAGCGGCACACAUAGCCGGCCACACGUGUCGCGCGCGCACCGAGACAAAUAAUAAGAACGUGAUAAUAACACUAAUUAAUAUCAAUAUAAAGUGAACAGAAACACGACACAUUAUAGUAACAUAAAGAAACAAUAAUGAUAAAUAACAUUAAGAAUUACGGUUCCAAGGACUAAAAUGAAAUGUCAAAGCGUGUAGAAGAAUAUUAUGAACGAUGAACGUGUGUGUGUAGCAGACAAUAAUGGGAAUGGGCCUGCAACCAUGCAAACGAAAUCCUACCUUGCGCAUCGUGGAUAAAAUUCAAACCACGUAUAGGGGGUGGGAGAUUAUUGAAGAUGUCGCUGGCAAGGUACUUAAAGCUAUGCCGAUACAUGGCUGAUUUGUGCUUGGGGGUGAGCAUCAGAUACGUGGAGGCCCUCGUGUUGAUGGUGUGGUGUUGGCGAGAUACCAGAAUGUAUUAUAAGAUUAA